RNAcentral lists this long non-coding RNA (1796 nucleotides) under Marmota monax (woodchuck). The record is from RNAcentral. Lineage: Eukaryota; Metazoa; Chordata; Mammalia; Rodentia; Sciuridae.
CUCAGAAGAAUGGGGAAAUCUACCCUCUUUUUUAAAAAAUAAUUUUUAGUUGUUGAUAGAUCUUUCUUUUAUUUAUUUAUAUGUGGUGCUGAGAAUCGAACCCUGUGCCUCACACAUACCAGGCAAGUGCAGUACCACUGAACUACAACCCCAGCCUGAAAUCUACCCUCUUAAUGCCAAAUGCAAAGAGAAGAAAAUUAUGCUAAGGGAUAGACUUGUAACUAGGUAAAUUAUCUACUGCGAUGUGAUCACUUCAAGAUUUAUAUAAAAGAAGAACAGAGGACAAGAAUUAACUUUUUUGUUGUUGUUAUAAAAGUAAUAAAUGACCAUUAUAUAAAACCUGGAAAAAUCAGAAGCAGAAAGGAGAAAACAAUCAUUAGGCAGAAAGCAGUGAACAAUGGUGUGAUCUUUCUACCUCUUUCUUUGAAUACUGCACAGUUGUAAUCACAUUUCACAAAUAAAUUUCAGCAUCCCCCUCCUCAAUGUUAUUAUGUAACUUUUUCUGUAGUACUGAGGAUUGAGUAUAGGGGCAUUCUACCACUGAGCUACAUACCUAGCCCUUUAUUAUUAUUAUUAUUUUAAAUUUUGAGGCAUUAUUUUGCUAUUUUGCUUCCUAAGUAGCCUCAGUUGGCCUUGAACUUGUGAUCCUCCUUCCUCAGCUUCCUGAGUCACUGGUAUUACAGGUAAGUGCUGCCAUAACUAGCUCAUCAGACUUUCUUUAUGUCAUCAUAUGAUAAAUAUAAUGAAUCAAUUAUCGUUUAUAAGGUUUCUACACUAACCCACAGAAACCCUUACAAAUGCAACGGGCAGAAGGACAGCUACUGGGAGAGAUGGCAUGAAAGACCCAUGGAAAGAGAGGGUUAUUAAGAAUCUUCUGGAGGGAAAUAGAGUGAGGAACCCAAAGGAGAAGUAGGGAAGAGGGAGGAAAAAGGGAAACAGAGACAGUAGUAGGGCAGGGGAUGGAAGGAAAGCAACAUGUGAGGGUCAAGAGAGUAGUAAGGGAAAGGGUAGGGUGAGGACUGUGGCCAGGCUGUUAAGGAACCAGGUCAGUAAUGGCAAAGAUGUGAAGGAAGCAAACAGUAUGCAAAUUGGAAAAAGCCAAUGGAAAAAUUAGUUGAUUAGAAGUUUACUACUGGGCAGCCAAUCUCAGCAGAGAAGUGUAAACUAAAGUUGAAUACAAUUAAAGGGGGUGAGAACAGAAUGUAAACCCCUCACAUGGAGAGAGGCUGCUUCUUCAAGUAGUUUAGCAAGGUGAGUCUGGAGGCACAGUUAACUGUGUAACCUGAGUCUGAUUUCAACAUAUGCACUAUGGAGCUAUCAUUAAAAUAACAGCGAAGACUACUGAGUUACUUUUCCAUGCCAGGCACAUUGCUUAGGCAUGUUGCUGCUAUAGCUCAAUAAAGCAUCAUGGCUACCCUACAAAGUAGGUGCUAUUAUUAUUAUUAAAAGCUUAAAAUUGAAGAAACUGAGGUUGAAAUAUUAGUUUACUAAGAUGAUAAGCCCAGGAAUAGAGAAGCUGGGUUUGAGCUAACACCUGGAAAGCGUAUUCUUAGGUCACAAAAAAACUGACUUGUUUUUUGGUACAGCAAAGAGCCCCAAAGGGACAAUUUAAAGGGAAAUGCUCAUUUUUUUGGAGGAAAAUACUAAUUCUUUUUCUCUUUUUCAGUCCUGGAGAUGGAAUGCAGAUAAUCAUGCAGUCAUGCUUGAAAGUGCUCUACCACUGAAUUACACGCUAGUUCUUUUUUAUUUUGAGACAAGGUCUCACAAAGUUGCCCAGGGUAGCCUUGGACUUGUGA